Molecule: ribosomal RNA, 451 nt
Filed under: uncultured bacterium
Lineage: Bacteria
Description: partial 16S ribosomal RNA
Rfam family: Bacterial small subunit ribosomal RNA
Source: RNAcentral
GAUGAAUGCUGGCGGCGUGCCUAACACAUGCAAGUCGAGCGGCAGCGCGAGUAGUUUACUACUUGGCGGCGAGCGGCGGACGGCUGAGUAACGUGUAGGAACGUGCCCUAAAGAACGGAAUAACUGACCGAAAGGGUGGCUAAUGCGGCAUAUGUACUGCGGAUGAAAAUCUUCGGACGGGUUAGGAGCGGCCGGCGUUAGAUUAGGUAGUUGGUGAGGUAAUGGCUUACCAAGGCGACGAUCCAUAGCUGGUCUGAGAGGAUGAUCAGCCACACUGGGACUGAGACACGGCCCAGACUCCUACGGGAGGCAGCAGUGGGGAAUCUUCCACAAUGGGCGAAAGCCUGAUGGAGCCACGCCGCGUGAAGGAUGAAGGCCUUAGGGUCGUAAAGUUCUUUUAUAAGUGAAGAAUAUGACGGUAACUGAUGAAUAAGCACCGGCUAACUACGUG